AUGGUCUCAGGUAAAGUUUUAACCCUGAAAGAGUUCUGGAAGGAAGAUUACUACAUACUUUCCUGUAUGACAUUAAUUGAGAAAUCCUGGGCCAAUGUCUGUCUGAGGAAACGUAGAUCUGCCUGUUCACAGGAUAGAGACUUUGAAGACUGUGUAGAGGAGCUUUCAAUUGACCAACUUGAGUUACAACCAGCCCUUGGAAAUCAAUUGACAGUCUAGCAGCUUUGUAUCUCCCCAUUAAUGGUGAAAUCUUGGAAACAGCCCAGUUGCCCAUCAACAGAUGAAUGAAGAAAAUAUGGUUUUUAUAUACAAUGGAGUACUACACUUAUAAAGAACGAUACACUUGAGACAUUUUAAAGUAAAUGGAUGCACCUCGAGAACAUAAGUGAAAUAAGUUGGACACACAUGUUUAGAUUUUGCGUUGUUUCUGUGGGAUUGUAUGAUUCAAAACUUAUGUAUUCCCUCAGACUUCGUUAUGUCUAAUGGCUAAAAUGUAUUUGCUAGUCUUGAAAUAGUAGAUAAGAUCUGUAACCUCCUAAGCAAAGCAUUCUACCCCUUGUUUGUCCGGAGAACAGAAAAUUCCCGGAACUACUAUCAGUAGAACAGACCGUAACUAAAUCUGCUGAUUAUGGUCAUAGUGUCCUCACUGCGGUUAUGCUGACCAUCAACAUGUGACGAUGAGCCAAACUCUUGUUCCUUUUUUCCCGUAAACCUACAUGUAACCUACCCCUUUCAACCCCCUAUAAAAACAGC
Molecule: long non-coding RNA, 753 nt
Filed under: Heterocephalus glaber (naked mole-rat)
Lineage: Eukaryota; Metazoa; Chordata; Mammalia; Rodentia; Bathyergidae
Description: lncRNA (ENSHGLG00000048273.1)
Source: RNAcentral